Molecule: long non-coding RNA, 612 nt
Organism: Salvia splendens (bonfire salvia)
Lineage: Eukaryota; Viridiplantae; Streptophyta; Magnoliopsida; Lamiales; Lamiaceae
Exons: 3
Source: RefSeq, a predicted model, not a curated record
AGCCACAGCUGGACAGACUGAUCGAUAUUACAUCGAACCAACGGGGAAACACAGAUUCCGGUCAAAGGUUGAGGUGCUUCACUUUCUGGAAACAGGAAGUAGUAAACCAAAGAGAAAGGCACCUUCUGCAACUGAGACUACGCCUUCAAGGAGUCCUGCAAGCCAAGCAUAAAGCAAGGCCAGCACGAAACGGAAGAAAUCCGAGGCCUUUGUUUCUGAUAAUACACAACCACCACCACAUGUUAUCAACGACGUGCAUAUGAAGUGAACAGAUAUGGUAAGGCCAAGCGCGGGCAUGAUGACAGUGUUUAUGCACCUCUCUGGGGUCUCUAACUGAAAGCGCUUGUCUUUUUGUUACCAUAAUUCUUCUUAGAUUCUGGUGGUAGACAUUUUACUUGUUUCUUAUGUAGAAUUCAAACAUUAUUGUGCGUGAGUUCUCUUGUGGAAUGUUAAGAGAAUUCUUUUGUAUUUGAAAGUAUUUUUGGAAAAGCCAUCUUGAAGAUAGAGAGAUGGUAUAAAUGCAGUUUCCUUGUAGAAGUAGGAACCUUUGUAGAAUACUUUGCUCCAAAUGGUGUAGUGCAUGAGGUUGCUCCAAAUUUGGAUAUGGGAUUA